UACGUAGGGUGCGAGCGUUGUCCGGAAUUAUUGGGCGUAAAGGGCUCGUAGGCGGUUUGUCGCGUCGGGAGUGAAAACCUCGGGCUUAACUCGGGGCUUGCUUUCGAUACGGGCAGACUGGAGGUAUGCAGGGGAGAACGGAAUUCCUGGUGUAGCGGUGAAAUGCGCAGAUAUCAGGAGGAACACCGGUGGCGAAGGCGGGUCUCUGGGCAAUAACUGACGCUGAGGAGCGAAAGCGUGGGGAGCAAACAGG
RNAcentral lists this ribosomal RNA (253 nucleotides) under uncultured bacterium. RNAcentral's name for it is "partial 16S ribosomal RNA". It matches the Rfam family "Bacterial small subunit ribosomal RNA", at positions 524 to 776 of the family's 1533-position model. The record is from RNAcentral.